RNAcentral lists this ribosomal RNA (462 nucleotides) under uncultured bacterium. RNAcentral's name for it is "bacterial SSU rRNA". It matches the Rfam family "Bacterial small subunit ribosomal RNA", at positions 36 to 518 of the family's 1533-position model. The record is from RNAcentral.
CUGGCGGCGUGCUCAUACAUGCAAGUCGAACGAGAAGCUAACUUCGGUUAGUGGAAAGUGGCGGACGGGUGAGUAAAAAUGUAGAGAAUCUGCCCUAGAGAGGGGGACAACAGUUGGAAACGACUGCUAAUACCCCAUAUGAGCGUAGCUGAGAUGCUAUUCUUGAAAACUCCGGUGCUCUGGGAUGAGUCUGCAUCUGAUUAGCUAGUUGGCGGUGUAAUGGACCACCAAGGCGACGAUCAGUAGCUGGUUUGAGAGGAUGAUCAGCCACAAUGGGACUGAGACACGGCCCAUACUCCUACGGGAGGCAGCAGUAGGGAAUUUUGCGCAAUGGGGGAAACCCUGACGCCAGCAACGCCGCGUGAUUGAAUAAGCCUUUCGGGGUGUAAAGAUCUGUCAGUAGGGACGAAACUUGACGGUACCUACAGAGGAAGCAUCGGCUAACUCCGUGCCAGCCGCGGC